This 10125-nucleotide long non-coding RNA is filed under the name Capsicum annuum. RNAcentral describes it as "long non-coding RNA (CANN_LNC018312)". The record is from RNAcentral. Lineage: Eukaryota; Viridiplantae; Streptophyta; Magnoliopsida; Solanales; Solanaceae.
CCGACAUAAGUCUGUAUUGACACACAAGUUUCCUUAUUAGCAUACAAUAUAUCAUAAUAAAGCUAGAAAAUGAAUUUUUAUCAUGUGAUGAAAAGGUUUGUUUCAUUUUAUGUUCUAGGGGAAAAAAUUCAGAUACAAAUGAUCAUCUAUUAACAACCCAACUGUUUUAGUGUUAAUUAAUGGUUAUUGUUACAUGGAUUAGAUGCUGUUGUUGAAGUAACUUGCAAGGCUGGUGACAAGAAAAUUGUGAGUUAUGGUACCACAAAGAUCAAUGGCAAAUUUAGCAUCACGGUUGAAGGAUUUGAAUAUCGCAAAUAUGGAGCAAAGGCUUGCAAGGCUAAACUCCACAAUACUCCAAAGGAUUCAAAGUGUAGCAUUCCUACAAACCUUCAUUGGGGAACUAAGGGUGCUAACCUCAAAGUGAAAUCAAAGAAUAGUAAUGAAGUUGUACUUUAUGCAAAACCAUUUGCUUAUGGAUCUAAGGCACCUUAUGCAGAAUGCAAAAAGCCCAAGGCUACACCUGCUCCAUACUAUUAUAAAUCUCCUCCACCUCCAACACCGAAUUAUGUUUAUAAAUCACCACCUCCUCCAUCGCCGGCUUACGUUUAUAAAUCACCACCUCCUCCAUCGCCGACUUACGUCUAUAAAUCACCACCUCCUCCAUCACCGACUUACGUUUAUAAAUCACCACCUCCUCCAUCACCGAAGUAUGUGUACAAAUCAGCACCUCCCCCAACCCCGACAUAUGUUUAUAAGUCUCCACCACCACCUGCUUACUAUUACAAAUCUCCGCCACCACCAACUAAGUCUCCACCACCCCAUUAUUAUUACAAUUCUCCGCCUUCACCAUCACCAAAACCGGCUCCGGUAUACUAUUACAAAUCACCACCACCGCCAUCACCGUCACCACCCCCACCUUACUACUACAAGUCCCCGCCACCACCAUCACCAAAACCGGCUCCGGUAUACUAUUACAAAUCACCACCACCGCCAUCACCGUCACCACCCCCACCUUACUACUACAAGUCCCCACCACCACCAUCACCUUCUCCCCCACCUCCCUACUACUAUAAGUCUACUCCACCACCAUCGUCGUCUCCUCCUCCACCAUACUACUAUAAGUCCCCUCCUCCACCAUCUCCAUCGCCACCCCCACCCUAUUACUACAAAUCUCCUCCACCACCAUCACCAUCACCUCCACCUCCAUACUACUACAAGUCUCCUCCUCCUCCAUCACCAUCUCCCCCUCCACCAUACGAUUACAAGUCACCACCUCCACCGUCACCAUCACCUCCACCACCCUACUACUACAAGUCUCCUCCACCACCAUCCCCCUCACCACCUCCACCCUACUACUAAAAGUCGCCUCCUCCACCGUCACCUUCUCCACCACCUCCCUACUACUACAAGUCACCUCCUCCAUCGUCACCUUCUCCACCACCUCCCUACUACUACCACUCUCCACCUCCACCAGUACAGUCUCCUCCUCCUCCUUAUUACUACAGCUCACCACCUACACCAGUGAAAUCACCUCCUCCGCCCGUAUAUAUUUACGCUUCCCCACCACCUCCAGUCCACUACUAAGAGUUUCCAGGAGUUCAGGCAUUCUCGGCAAUCAAUCAAGUGAGUAAUUGUUUAAAAUGUAAUUUUUUUCAUAUGAGAUUAACUUUGUUUUGCUUCUUUUCUUUGAAUUAGAUCUCUAAUUUUCUAUUUGAUUGUUUGUUUCCAGAUUUUAGUUUGAAACACCAAAUAAAUGAUGGCUUCUUGGGGAAAAGAUUCAAACGUCGAUGGAGCAAAGCAAUUAAUUUAAGGAAUAAGAUAUUCAAUUUUUCAAUUGAAGGGUUGAUUCUUCGUGACAUGGACCAGUUUGCUUCUACUUCUCUUUUGGCCUUCUUGCACAUUGUUCUCUUAGUUCGUUAACAUAAACGUAUCUAAGCUUUGAUUCUUUGUAGAGUUCGUUUCUCCAUAAUUUAUUGUUUUGUAUUGAGGAUAUUGUCCUCUUUUUAUUCAUUCCUAUUAACCAUUGUACGUUGUUUUUUUGUAGUACCUCUGUGUACUUUGUGCACAAUCCAAUAAAAAGAUCAAUUUCGUUAUAUACACUUCUUCUCUUUUCUUCUUCAUCUUUCCCUCUUAAUCUGUUACAAACAAAUUAAAUUAGUCUUGUCGAACUAUAUAUAAACAAAUUGGAAAUGAAAAUACCUACAAUUAUUUUAUGAACUUUAAUAGUUUUAAUAUUGAAGUAGUUCAAGAAAUUUAAUUGUUGAUCAUUUGUCUAAAUUGUUAUAAUAACAAUACAAGCAGUAUUUUGUUUCUUUUAAAUCCCCUGCCUUCCUUUGUGUUCGACUAUUAUGCCAAUGACACUUUGAAAUAAGGGUCAUAUUUUGUACCUGUUAGUUUUUAAUUUCCCACCAUCCUUUGUGUACGACUAUUCUCUCCAAACCAUUAUAGUUAUUCGUAAUAAUAUGAUAAGAUUUUCAUGCUAGAUACUUUUUCUUGGAGGAAAGGAACUUUAAUGAAGUUAAUUGAUAGCAGGUUAUUACUAAAUCUUUUAAGUUUACUACUUGUCAAGAAAAGCGGAGUAUUUGUUGUUGUAGGUCAAUAUAACCUUAUGGUGUAAAAAUAUAUGCUCACACAGUUAGUUCACAUAACUUAAGUUUGAAGGGGAGCUUGGUGUAACAAGUUAAGCAGUUGUCAUUUGACCAGGAGGUCACGAGUUCGAGAAACAUCCUCUAAUGCUGCGUACAAUAGACCCAUAUGGUCCAGCCCUUUUCCAGAUCCCCAUAGCGGGAGAUUAGCAUACGAGGUUGUCUUUUUACUAACUUUUUUAUAAUGUAAGCUCGAAAGAAAAUAAAGUAAACUGAAACACGGAUCUGUGCUUUUUAAAUUAGUACAAAAGCAUGCCAAGUCUCAACUAACAAAUUCUUUUCUAAUCUUACAUGGUAUUAAAUGAAAAUGAAAAAGAUAUUUUUUUAUAACUCAUUUCAUGAACUGAUGCUCCUGAAAUAAAUAAUAAGAAGAUAUCAUCAUAAAAUACACUCGGCAUAACACAUAAAUAUGACCCUAAACUUGACACCAAAUUAUAACAUUGACCUUACACUUUGAUAGUGCACAAAUAGGACCUUUAACUAUUCAAAACCUGAACAAAUAAACACCCCGAUCCUAUGUGGCAAAACGCGUGUUGCACACGCAAAACGGCCCGCGUUCGAGUUGGAAUUGAAGGGUUUUUUUGUUUAGUUUUUGUAUAGUUAAGGCCUAGUUGUGCACCGACAAAGUUAAAGGUCAUACUUAUAAUGUGUUUUUUUAUUAGGUGGCACCAUAUGAGUGGAUUAGUAAUCCACGUCAGAGCAAGUGAGGUACACGCGUGUAGUUGCAAAAUCGGAGUAUCUUUUUGUGCAGGUUUUGUAUAGUUGGCCUACUUAUGCACUAUCAAAGUUUAAGUGUACUAUCAAAGUUUAAGGUCAAUGUUAUAAUUCAUAUUUAUGUAUUAUGCCAAUACACUCGGUAUGUUGUUUACGCCGGCCUUCCCAGACCACUCGUAGGAUUACACUGGGCAUAUUGUUGUAGUACGUACACUCGGUUUGGCGAAACAAUUCGAUGUCAAAGAAAAUGUUGACGUUCUAAGUUUCUAGAACACCAUUUCUAGUUGGCAACAAAUAAUCGAAGCCAUCAACUUUCAGUAUAAAUGCUUAUAAACCAUGCACCCGUCAUAGUAAUAAAAAGGGUUAUUUUAAGUUAUAAGUUAUCAAGGUUCUUGAGAUCAACUAGUGAUCCAAAAAGAAAAUCAUUCAUCUAUUCGCAAAUAAAUUGAACAUUUUCACCAUGCAUAUGAUCAGUAGCGGAAGCAGGGAUCCUAAUAAGGGGAUUCAAAAAGGUACAAAAGUGUUACACUUACGUUUCAAUUUGAGCAUGUCACACAGCGCAUAUGGCAAUAGUUGGUAUAGAAUUUGGAAAAUGCCGUAGUAACGCACCUUAGCAAUUACCGGUAAUAAACUCUAUCAAUAUCAGUCUUGUUCUUUUACCAACCAGCUUGAGUCUGCGAUAUAGAAUAUAUAUAUAUAUAUCCUGACAAUGCUACAGAUCAUCAAACAAGUAAAACAGGGGAAGAGAUAUUAGUUAAUUUGGCUAAAUAAGUCAAAGUUGUUGUAAUUAUUUGUAAAUAUAGAACACCACAUAAUUAAAUAUAACAGAAUACGUAUACUAGUUUUUUUCUUGAAAUUAUCAAUCUUUUAAGUUUUGUAGGUGAUAUAGAGAUAUGCUUAUUGAAAACAAAAUGGCAAGAAAGUGGAAGUAAUAAAAAAUAGCACUUUCUUUCCUUUAACCAUUACAUGGCAUGUCUUUUUGUGUGCACAUUCAUAUUUUGUGCACUCCAUAGCAGGUAACAAACUACUUGCUAAAAAGAUAAAGUGGAAAUAUUCAAAGUGAUAUAGAGAUGGACUUUAAUUAACAAUAUGAGAACUCGUAGAUCCAGCUGUUAAGAGCUAUGAAUAUUCUUUCUACACUUAGAUUAUCAAUCAGAGCAAUUGAAUUGGUCAUUUAGACAGCUCUUUACUAACAACUAGUUUUCAAGGUGUGUUACUAUAAAUACAUAGGCCAAUGAAUCCUCUAAAGGCAUCACUUCUCAACUGAAAAACUAAACUUGUCUUCUUUCUUCUUUCUCUAACUAGCCCCAUUUGGAGACUAGGUGGUGUAGUUUUACUGAGAAAUGAGGCUUCGCGGUGGCGGCCCUGCCAAGGGUCGUCAAUAUUUACCUCAAAUCUUAGUGGCACUGGCCAUAUUGGCUGUUGCUAAUGUAGUGUCAGCAGACCCUUAUGUGUACUCUUCUCCACCACCUCCAACGUAUGAGUACAAGUCACCUCCACCUCCUUCUCCUUCUCCACCGCCACCUAAUGUGUACAAAUCUCCACCUCCUCCAUCACCUUCUCCCCCGCCUCCAUAUGUUUAUAAGUCACCACCUCCUCCUUCUCCAUCACCACCUGCACCAUAUGUGUAUAAGUCUCCACCACCUCCAUCGCCAUCCCCUCCACCACCAUAUGUGUAUAAGUCUCCACCACCUCCAUCGCCAUCUCCACCACCACCUUAUGUGUAUAAGUUUCCCCCACCUCCAUCACCAUCUCCACCUCCACCAUAUUACUACAAGUCUCCACCUCCACCUUCACCAUCACCUCCACCACCAUACUAUCACAAAUCUCCACCACCGCCUUCACCAUCACCACCCCCGCCAUACUAUUAUAAGUCUCCACCGCCACCUUCUCCUUCACCUCCUCCGCCAUACUACUACAAAUCACCACCACCUCCUUCGCCAUCUCCUCCUCCACCUUAUUACUACAAGUCUCCACCUCCUCCAUCUCCAUCACCACCACCACCAUAUUAUUACAAGUCUCCACCUCCACCAUCCCCAUCACCACCCCCUCCUUACUACUAUAAGUCUCCACCACCACCGCUUAAGUCACCUCCUCCCCCAUACUAUUACAGCUCUCCACCACCACCAGUGAAGUCUCCCCCUCCACCAUAUUACUACUCCUCACCACCACCACCAAAGAGAUCACCUCCCACACCAUAUCAUUAUACUUCACCACCUCCUCCAUACUAUUAUAGCUCACCACCACUACCCAAGGAAUCUCCUCCUCCACCAUAUCACUACAGUUCCCCACCACCACCAAAGAAGUUACCUCCAACUCCAUACUACUACAAGUCUCCACCACCACCACCAAAGAAGUCUUCUCCCCCACCAUACUACUAUACUUCACCACCACCACCAACUCAUUACUAUCCUCCACAUCAUCAAUUUGUUGUCAAAGUUGUCGGCAAAGUCCAUUGUUUUAGAUGUUACAACAGGAAGCACCCAGAAAUGUCUCACGGCAAAAAGCACCUUAAAGGUACCAUAGUCUUGAAUAAUUACACUAAUCUCCAAUUUGUUAUGUUCUUUUAAUUUUAUCAUCAAAAUUUUAUUAGCUAUAUAUUUACUUUUUGUUGCUUUCUUCAUUGCGCUCUUAACGAAAUUCAUAAAUGUGUCCAUUUUUAUUUGGAUAGUUGAUUCAUUUCUAUUUUCAAAUGUGAAAGUAUUGAAAUUCUAAAGCAUCAAGAAAUUUUACACAGAAACGACUUUAACUAUAAUUGUUACUAUAGAGUAAAAUAUAUUGCGAAAUGGAAGUAGUUCUUGCUUGAAAAUGAAGAACUAAUUUUAAGUGUGAUUUAUUCUCACAUUGGCUGACAAAAGUCCGUAUUAACAUGCAAUUAAUUUCCAUUACCAGAAUGUAAAAUAGUUAGUAAAGUUACAAUAAAGAAAUUUUUAUCAUGUCAUGAAAAUGUAUGUUUUACUUUUGUUUUAGGGGGGGGUAAGGCUUGGAUCGAAACCAUUUAUUAACAACUCAACUCCUUCAGUGUUAAUUAAUGGAUUUUAUUUACAUGGACUAGGUGUUGUUGUUGAAGUGACUUGCAAGGCUGGUGACAAGAAAAUUGUGAGUUAUGGUACCACUAAGCUCAAUGGAAAAUUUAGCAUCACAGUUGAAGGAUUUGAAUAUCGCAAAUAUGGAGCAAAGGCUUGCAAGGCUAAACUCCACAAUGCACCAAAGGACUCAAAGUGUAGCAUUCCUACAAACCUUCAUUGGGGAAUUAAGGGUGCUGACCUCAAAGUGAAAUCAAAGAAUAGUUAUGAAGUUGUACUUUAUGCAAAACCAUUUGCUUAUGGAUCUAAGACACCUUAUGCAGACUGCCAAAAGCCCAAGCCUACACCUGCUCCAUACUAUUAUAAAUCUCCUCCACCUCCAUCACCGACUUAUGUGUACAAGUCACCACCUCCUCCAUCACAAAAGUAUGUGUACAAGUCACCACCUCCCCCAACCCCGACAUACAUUUAUAAGUCUCCACCACCACCUGCUUACUAUUACAAAUCACCACCACCACCAACUAAGUCUCCACCACCUCAGUAUUAUUACAAGUCUCCACCUCCACCAUCACCAAAACUUGCACCAGUAUACUAUUAUAAAUCACCACCACCCCCAUCACCGUCACCACCCCCGCCUUACUACUACAAGUCUCCGCCACCACCAUCACCAUCACCAAAACCUGCACCACCAGUAUACUAUUAUAAAUCACCACCACCCCCAUCACCAUCACCACCCCCACCUUACUACUAUAAGUCCCCGCCACCACCAUCACCAAAACUUGCACCUAUUUACUAUUAUAAAUCACCACCACCCCCAUCACCGUCACCACCCCCACCUUACUAUUACAAGUCCCCACCACCACCAUCACCUUCUCCCCCACCUCCCUACUACUAUAAGUCUCCUCCACCACCAUCGCCAUCUCCUCCUCCACCAUACUAUUAUAAGUCCCCUCCUCCACCAUCUCCAUCACCACCACCACCCUAUUACUAUAAAUCUCCUCCACCACCAUCACCAUCUCCUCCACCUCCAUACUACUACAGGUCCCCUCCUCCUCUAUCUCCAUCUCCCCCUCCACCAUACUAUUACAAGUCACCACCAUCGCCAUCGCCAUCACCUCCACCACCCUACUACUACAAGUCUCCUCCUCCUCCAUCGCCUUCUCCCCCUCCACCAUACUAUUACAAAUCACCACCACCUUCAUCGCCAUCUCCUCCACCACCCUACUACUAUAAGUCCCCUCCUCCACCAUCCCCAUCACCACCUCCACCCUACUACUACAAGUCGCCUCCUCCACCGUCGCCUUCUCCACCACCUCCCUACUACUACCACUCUCCACCUCCACCAGUGAAAUCACCUCCUCCACCCGUAUAUAUUUACGCUUCCCCACCACCUCCAGUCCACUACUAAGAGUUUCCAGCAGUUCAACCAUUCUCCACACUCAAUCAAGUGAGUAGUUGUUUAAUUGUAAUUUUUUUCGUAUGAGAUCAAAUUUCUGUCAUUACUGCUCUAAUCUUCUAUUUGAUUGUUUCUUUUCAGAUUUUAUUUGAAAACACAAAAUAAAUGAUGGCUUCAUGAGGAAAAGAUCCAAACGUCAAUGGAACAAAGCAAUUACUUUACAGAAUAAGAUAUUCAAUUUUUCAAUUGGAUUGAUUCUUCAUUACAUGGAUCAGUUUGUUUCUACUUCUCUUUUGGCCUUCUUGCACAUUGUUCUCUUAGUGCGUUCAUAUGAAUGUAUUUAAGCUUUGAUGGUUCUUAGAGUUGGCUUCUUCGUAAUUUAUUGUUGUAUUGAGGAUAUUGUCCUCAUUUUAUUCAUUCCUACUAAUUAUUGUGUGUUGUUCUUGUAAUACCUUCGUGUACACUGUGCACAUGAUCAGUAAGAAGAUCAAUUUCAACGAAACAAAUUAGAUUGUUGAUAUUUGUCUAAAUACUGUUAUAAUAAUGAUACAUGUAGUAUUUUGUUGCCUUUUAAAUCCCCGCCUUACUUUGUCUAUGACUGCUAUGUCAACGAUCCUUUGAAAUAAGAGCCAAAGUUUUUAUCAGUUAGUUUUUAAUUCUCCGGCCUCCUAUGUGUAUGAUUGUUCUUUCCAAAACAUUAUAGCUAUGAAUUUUACCAUUGCUAUGAACAGAUGAAAAAUGAAAUACCAUUACUUCAUUUCUACAGGAAAAAGGGAAAGUUUUCAAGAAGAGUUGGCUCAUAUAGCUGCACACUCAACCACAUAAACUUAAAAUAGCCGGCAGGUGUAUAAUAUACGUAAUAUUCAUGUAAAAUUAGAGUAUAAUCUAUGCAUCUGCGGAAAAAAGUAGGAAGCGAAUCUGAUCAGCUAUUUGUGCAAAGAUCCCAAUUUUCUAAGCAAAAAGAUUAUUUGACAUUAUUAUGAUACCACUAUAGAAGUAAAUGCUAUGGAGGCAGACGGUGCACUAAGCCCCCCCACUAUCUGCGGGGUAUGGGGAAGAACCGGACACAAAGGUCUAUUGCAUGCAGUCUUAACUUUCAUUUUUGCAAGGGGCUGUUUACACAGUCAAACCUGUGAGCUGCUGGUCAUAUGGAAGCAACUUAACCGGCUAUGCCAAGACUCGCACCAAUGUAAAAGUAAAUGAUACAGAAAAACAGGUCAGCCCAGUGCACUAUGCUCUCAUUUUGUGUGGGGUUCGAGCAAGGACAGUACCACAAGGGUAUAUUAUCAUAGGUGGAGCCAGGAUUUCAACUAAGGAGGUUCAAUAUUUGAAGAAAACCUAAUCGAAGGAGAUUCAAUAGUAUAUACAUACAUAAAAAUAAUUUUAAUCAUGUAUAAAUAGAAUAUUUUUCCAUCGAUAUAUUAUUAUCUAGCCUUAUCCUACAUUUCUGCAAGAGACUAUUUCCACAGACCAAACCCUUGACCUCCUAGUCACAUUGCAACAACUUUACUAAUCACGCCAAGGCUCCCCUUCAAGUAAAUGCUUCAGUAAAAGGACAGCCCAGUGCACUAAGUUCCCGCUACAUGCAACAUAAUAGGGUCAGGGAAAGAACCGGGGCACAAGGGUCUACUGCAUGCAACCUUAUCCUCCAUUUCUACAAGACUAUUUUCACAGCUCGAACCCAUAACCUCCCGAUCACACUGGUAAUAACUUUACCAGUUACCUCAAAACUCUCAUUCAAGCAAAUGCUACAGUCUUUCCAUAAAAAGAACAUAGAAAGACAGCUAAAUUAACAAUUUUUAAUAGAGAACUUAGCACCUUUUACCUCUUAUUAUAUCUACAGCUGGGGUGUGUAACUGGUGCAAUCUUUGCUCCUCUUGUUUGCCUUCAUCUCUAAGACUUCCAGUUUCAUUUUAAAAAUCAAUUCUUUUUAUAAUCGUGAUGUCCGGGACAGCUACCUUUAUUACAUAUUAUUGUUCUUACGUACCAACAGCUUGCGCGCACCUCGAAUAUUUGCCAAAAAUAGGUAUUCUUUUCAACUCUUCUUUCUGAAAAUUGGCAUGAUUUGCGAAAUUGAAAUUUGCAGGUUCAGUUGAUUAAUUUGAAAACAUGAGCUUUAAAUUUCCAUUUGAAUAAAUAGGAAACUAAUUGAACAGGAAAGCGGGAAGAAGGGAGACGGUUAAAUUGGGGAAAAAUUAAAAAACAUGAUUAAGUAUGCUGAAAAAUUAAAAACAAAAAAGAAUGGCAACAUUAUAAAAAGAGAAAAUAGUGCGAUAAUUGAACCGUAAGGAAUAGUAAAUAACAACACAAAUACAAAAUAAAGGAUAAGUGCACUAUGAUUAAU